CGUGACCAUGGUCACGAUACUGAAGACUGCCACCAGCUUCACGUUGAGAUUGAGAGGCUUGUUAGGCAGGGGCAGUUGAAUCAUUUUGUCUAAAGAGUGGCCCCUCAACAUCGAGCUCUGAGAGUUCAACAGCCACCUCCUCUGUCUCAGCAGCAUCUCCCUCAACCUCAACCACACCAAGCACCAGCACGGCAGGAAUGACAGCAGGGUGGAGGGCA
This 218-nucleotide long non-coding RNA is filed under the name Elaeis guineensis (African oil palm). RNAcentral describes it as "long non-coding RNA (EGUI_LNC074789)". The record is from RNAcentral. Lineage: Eukaryota; Viridiplantae; Streptophyta; Magnoliopsida; Arecales; Arecaceae.